CCUACGGGUGACAGCAGUGGGGAAUAUUGGGCAAUGGGCGAAAGCCUGACCCAGCAACGCCGCGUGAAGGAAGAAGGCUUUCGGGUUGUAAACUUCUUUUGACAGGGAAGAGCAGAAUACGGUACCUGUCCAAUCAGCCACGGCUAACUACGUGCCAGCAGCCGCGGGAAUACGUAGGUGGCAAGCGUUGUCCGGAUUUACUGGGUGUAACGGGCGUGUAGCCGGGCUGACAAGUCAGAUGUGAAAUCCGGGGGCUCAACCCCCGAACUGCAUUUGAAACUGUUGGUCUUGAGUAUCGGAGAGGCAGGCGGAAUUCCCAGUGUAGCGGUGAAAUGCGUAGAUAUUAGGAGGAACACCAGUGGCGAAGGCGGCCUGCUGGACGACAACUGACGGUGAGGCGCGAAAGCGUGGGGAGCAAACAGGAUUAGAUACCCGGGUAGUC
Molecule: ribosomal RNA, 442 nt
Filed under: uncultured bacterium
Lineage: Bacteria
Description: partial 16S ribosomal RNA
Rfam family: Bacterial small subunit ribosomal RNA
Source: RNAcentral